UUGUCAGUAUUGCAAUCCUCCUGAGAUUAGUCAGUGAAAGCGAGAGUUGAAUAAAGUAGACGGAGGAAAACAUGGGAGGAAAAUUCUUCUACCUUCUGGUAGCUUCAACUUUGAUAGCCUACUACAUCUACAGGCCUUUACCAGAGAAUGUGGAAGAACCCUGGAAGCUGAUGCUUUUAGAUGCUGGCUUUAGAAGCCUAAUACAUGCGGCCACGAUUGUAGAGAAGUUGGGUCUUGGACACUAUAUGGAUGUUAUAAACCUGUACACAAUUGCUACAUAUACACCACCUACAUCUGAUGAAAAAGUUAUUGUAACAGACACAAAAUUUGGCCAUGUUCCAGUACGUCUUUACAUUCCUACAAAGCAGUCAGAUGUCUUGAAAAGAGCAAUGAUUUUCAUUCAUGGAGGUGGAUGGUGUAUAGGAUCAGCAACCAUGAAAUCCUAUGACCUCUUAUCAAGAUGGACAUCAGAAAGACUAAAUGCUGUUGUGGUGUCAGUCGAUUAUAGACUAGCUCCAAAAUAUCGGUUCCCAGUUGCAUUUGAAGAUGCGUACUCAGUAGCAAAAUACUUUCUACAAAGCAGCAUCCUGGAGAAAUACAAUGUAGACGCAAGCCGAAUUGGCAUUGCAGGAGACAGCGCAGGAGGUAAUUUAGCUGCAGCUGUAACCCAGCAGGGGAGACAAUCCAAAAAUGGUGGGACUGCAACUAGAGCACUGUAGAGGAACUAGAUUAUCUAGAUCCAUUUCGGCCAGGUUUUUGACUUGGGUAACUCAGAGAGAAUGGGGUGAAAGAAGAGGAGAAAAAUUCUCAGAAGAGGCCAGUGGCAAAUCACUUCCAUAAUAAGAUCAAGAAAACUACAUGGAGCUAAGCUCAAGUUACAUUGUGCCAAAGAGGAAGCCUCCAGGAACUGAGAUAGAAUGCUGUACAAUCAAGCCAGGACUGUAUUAAGAAGGGAAAUCAGGGCAGCAAGGAGAAGCUACUCUGAAAAGCUGAGGAAUCAGCUCUCAACAAAUGAACCAGCAAAUGUGUGGAAAAGCCUUGAAAAUAUAACUGGCUACAGCAGACCUCCCUCCCUUACUGAAGGGGAUUGGCAAAUGGCAGAUGACUUGAAUGUGUUCUACUGUAGGUUUGAGAGGAGACCAUUGUCAACUAUCACUAGCCUCCCCAUCUCAGAUACACAACAACAGCCAAGUCUUCUACACCUGACUCCAUCUCUCUGGGUCUCCCACCUGUGAUGACCCUAGAAAAAGAGGUGUGAGAUCUAUUUCACAGACAAAAUACCAGAAAAGCACCAGACCCAGACAGAGUAACUCCUUCUUACUUAAAAGUCUGUGCUGAUCAACUGGCCCCAAUCUUCACCGGUAUCUUUAAUAAAUCACUAGAGAUGAAUUAUGUUUCUUCUUGCUUCAAACACUACUAUCAUCCCAGUGCCCAAGAAACCCUCCAUCAAGGAGCUGAAUGACUACAGACUGGAUGCUUUGACAUUUGUAGUUAUGAAAACCUUCAAAAAGUUAGUGCUGGCCCACCUGAAAAUCAUCAUAGUCUGCUGCUAGACAGCCUUGUAAUUUGCCUACCAUGCAAAUAGGUUGGCAGAUGACCAUUUAUUUCUCCCAUGCCAUCACUCUGCUAAACACCUACAGUAAUUCCUACAACACUGUCUUAUGUCUAAGGAUAUCUAACCAUGUAGUAGGGCUGAAUUAGUAUUAAACUUCUCAUCUUUCCUAUUACCUACUCAUGUGGUAUCUUAUAAUUUUCAUUUUUUGAUUGUAUGUUACAAUUUAUGAUUGUAUCUUAUGAUUUAUCCUGUUGCUUGUAUGUGCACUGAGAGCACCAGAAACAAAUUCUUUGUGUGUCCAAUAACACUUGGCCAAUUUCUGUUCUGUUCUAUUGACAUAGGGGUAAAAUUUCAAGGUUAAUUUCAUCAGCUAUGUAUGCUAAACCCAAAUUAAAAAAAUAGGAUAUUGCAUAAAAUAAAGAUGCCUUGGUAUCAUUACUAA
Molecule: non-coding RNA, 1997 nt
Organism: Pantherophis guttatus
Lineage: Eukaryota; Metazoa; Chordata; Lepidosauria; Squamata; Colubridae
Source: RefSeq, a predicted model, not a curated record